Molecule: ribosomal RNA, 253 nt
Filed under: uncultured bacterium
Lineage: Bacteria
Description: partial 16S ribosomal RNA
Rfam family: Bacterial small subunit ribosomal RNA
Source: RNAcentral
UACGUAGGGGGCUAGCGUUGCUCGGAAUUACUGGGCGUAAAGGGCGCGUAGGCGGUUUGUACAGUCCGGUGUGAAAUUCCCGGGCUCAACCUGGGGGCUGCACUUGAUACGUGUGGACUUGAGUGAGGAAGAGGGUCGUGGAAUUCCCAGUGUAGAGGUGAAAUUCGUAGAUAUUCGGAAGAACACCAGUGGCGAAGGCGGCUCACUGGACGGUAACUGACGCUGAGACGCGAAAGCGUGGGGAGCAAACAGG